CCUACGGGAGUCAGCAGUGAGGCAUAUUGGUCAAUGGGCGAGAGCCUGAACCAGCCAAGUCGCGUGAAGGAUGACGGCCCUACGGGUUGUAAACUUCUUUUGUCAGGGAGCAAUUGGGUCCACGCGUGGGCUUAGCGAGAGUACCUGAAGAAAAAGCAUCGGCUAACUCCGUGCCAGCAGCCGCGGUCAUACGGGGGAUGCGAGCGUUAUCCGGAUUUUUUGGGUUUAAAGGGUGCGUAGGCGGAAUAUCAAGUCAGGGGUAAAAAUUCGGGGCUCAACCCCGUCGUGCCGUUGAAACUGAUGUUCUUGAGUGUGCGAGAAGUAUGCGGAAUGCGUGGUGUAGCGGUGAAAUGCAUAGAU
RNAcentral lists this ribosomal RNA (360 nucleotides) under uncultured bacterium. Its description in RNAcentral is "partial 16S ribosomal RNA". It matches the Rfam family "Bacterial small subunit ribosomal RNA", at positions 338 to 695 of the family's 1533-position model. The record is from RNAcentral.